AUGGCCCCCUUUGGCCCCAUGAAGCUUUGCCACUAUUGCCGACCAUCUUCCACUGCCUAUUGGAGCGAUUCCGCCAUCCUCAGCCUGCGCAACACCACAUCCCGCAGCCAACCAUCUUCCACUGCCAAUUGGAGCGAUUCAGCCGCUCUCAGCCUGCGGGGCACCACAUCUCGCAGCCACUAUAGUUCCACCAUUAGCGACUUCUUACAAGGAGUUGUGCAAGAGUAUCAACCCCGAUGA
Molecule: ribosomal RNA, 240 nt
Filed under: Triticum aestivum (bread wheat)
Lineage: Eukaryota; Viridiplantae; Streptophyta; Magnoliopsida; Poales; Poaceae
Description: partial small subunit ribosomal RNA
Source: RNAcentral